RNAcentral lists this ribosomal RNA (460 nucleotides) under uncultured bacterium. RNAcentral describes it as "partial 16S ribosomal RNA". It matches the Rfam family "Bacterial small subunit ribosomal RNA", at positions 338 to 795 of the family's 1533-position model. The record is from RNAcentral.
CCUACGGGCGGCAGCAGUGAGGAAUAUUGGUCAAUGGGCUGAAGCCUGAACCAGCCAAGUAGCGUGCAGGAUGACGGCCCUACGGGUUGUAAACUGCUUUUAUACGGGAAUAACGCGCCUUACGUGUAGGGCUUUUCAUGUACCGUAUGAAUAAGGACCGGCUAAUUCCGUGCCAGCAGCCGCGGUAAUACGGAAGGUCCGGGCGUUAUCCGGAUUUAUUUGGGUUAAAGGGAGCGUAGGCCGCAUGUCAAGCGUGCUGUGAAAUGUCCGGGCUCAACCCGGGCCGUGCAGGGCGAACUGGCGUGCUUGAGUCCGCGGAAAGCAGGCGGAAUUCGUCGUGUAGCGGUGAAAUGCUUAGAUAUGACGAAGAACCCCGAGUGCGAAGGCAGCUUGCUGCAGCGGAACUGACGCUGAUGCUCGAAAGCGCGGGUAUCGAACAGGAUUAGAUACCCGAGUAGUC